Pelodiscus sinensis (Chinese soft-shelled turtle) is the source of this 3175-nucleotide non-coding RNA. The record is from RefSeq and is a predicted model, not a curated record. Lineage: Eukaryota; Metazoa; Chordata; Testudines; Trionychidae.
UCCGACUCAUUUAUUUCAAUAUUUAUACCCCACAUGCUUGGCUGUCAGCUGCUGCUGGCUUCGUGCGAGUGAAAGGAUGAGCGAGCAGGGGAGUUUCCGAAAAGGAUCUGACAAAGGUGACAACUACUCACCUUUUCCAGAAACAUGGUGAUAUCUGAUUUUUGCAGCAGGACCCAAAUUCCAUAACCAGAGAGUUCUCUCUGAACACAAGAAAACAAUUGACAUCAAAAUUACAGAAAUAAAUGAAAUAGAAUUUCUCCCAGAGCCUACGCUUCCGAGAACAUGGAUCUCAACCUUAAAUGUGGCCAUGCAGGGCCAUGAAAAUGGUUAAUAAACAAGCUGCCCUACACUGUUUUUGCCAUCUCCACCCAUUUUUGGUCAGACAUGCCCUAUUUUGGGGUUCUACUAUAAUAAAUCUGAAGGACAUACUGAUUUACAGAUGUCUGUAUGUGCAAGAGAAACCAGCAGAUCCUCAGUGAAGACGCCAUUGUCAGCUGCUUAACGGGAUAUAUAAAUACAAUCAAGUGCAUCAGUGGAAGGGACUUCAGGUGACUCUCACUGGGAUUUCAGCUUUUGCUGUUGUCCUUUUACUAUACUGGAAUCUGCUGGAGUGAUCUUAUUGGACCAGCUAUUCUGAAGUGGGGAUGAUGAACACUAACCUCAACUGGAAUUAUAUCUCUCUGGAAAGCCCAUUCAGUGAGAGAUCUAACAUUUUCCUAUAAGGAGGUUAGUUAUUCCUCUUCCAAAUGGUGUUAGUUUCCACUAAUCAUUCUUUUCCAAGAGAACCAUAUUUCCUUUCCUUGAUUCUAUACAUCUCCUUGGUCCAUCAACAGCCCCAAACAAUAACCUCCUUUUGGUCAACAUCUCUACUACAGAACAUGCUUCUGAUUUGCUUAGAAAGACAGUCGCAUCUUGCAGACUGCCUCUUCAAUCUUCUGCUGAAAGAAGAUAGAUCCACCUGCUGCAGGUUCAUAAACAAAACACAUUCAACUCCUAUUCGUUUGUUCUGAGUGCCUCCUCGGCCUGCUGUCAAUUUGAAUCUUUUAUCAAAGAAAUGGAUUAAGUUGUGCUGAUAUGUCUGUGUCUCUUCACUUGGUGCCUGAUCUAUCUUAGCUGCUUAAAUGACUGGCCUCCCUUUCAACUUAACGUCAUGUGGAAUAGAUACAGAUUUACAUUUAUGCAAUUUUUUUUUAAAUCACAUGAUUCUGCUAGCCCUGUUUGUAGAACUACUUAUACUGAUACUUAAACUCAUUUAGAUAAUACUAGUCUGAAUAUGUAACUAGAAGGCACAAGGUGUGUCACUAGAAUUUCAUAACUGGGUUUGGAAGAGGAGAAGAAAUACUGGAAAUUCAGCUUUUUUCUCACUUACAUGCCAAGUCCUAAGCACGUGAAUGGCUCUCUAUGCCAUAAGUGGUGACAUCUUAAACACUAAAACACUGCUGUGCUUGGAGUUGGCUAGAGAACCCCCACUAGGCUUUAGGGACAGUUCUUUGAUAAAGAUGAACCAAUGUAUUGCCUAUGUUCAUCAUUCAAAGUUUUAAAUCAAACUUGCCUGAGCCUAGCAAAUGUACUUCGCAAGACCGGCAGUGGGAAGAAAUUAAUCAAUGUCAAAAUAAACAUUUUAUUCAACAAUGUGAAGGAUAUUUUAUUGAAUAGCAUACAUUAAUUGUCAGGGCAUUUUUAGUUUAGGGGUCCUUAAUUUUACAACUUGCUUCCCAACUAUUUGCUUGAAUUCAUGGAACCAUAAGCUGAGCUGGACAUGUAAUUAUGGUAUGUAGUGUUAUGGUAUGUAGUGUAAUAGUAAAUGAGUCUCAGUGAUGACAAUGAUCAAGUUAAGUAUAUACAUUUUAAAUAUUGUUAGGUAUGCAGAGGCUACAUGAUGGGUACUUUCCUACAUUAAUAAAAAUGAGAGAUUUUGAUGAGUACAAAGAUGUUUCAGUCAAUAUUUGUCACUAAAUCUUGAAAGUCAACAUCUGUUUGUUCAUAUAAUAUGUACACUGAAGUUUGUUUAAUAUUUGCUAGUAACCAUUCUGUUAAGUUUUAGAAACUUUAUUGAAAAAUAAUGUUAUUCACAUUAAGCUCUCCAACACCUUUUUUGAGACAUCUACCCAUCCUUACAACUAGUUUCUUUCUGUGCCAAGAGUUGGGCUUCAUGAAGCAUAUGAACAUGAGUGUGUGUGUAAAGCAAUCUUCUCUUGGUGAGAAAUGUAUUUCACCUGGCCAGUGUAACUGUUUGGGUAUCUACAGAGACUUCCUGUGCACUUGUUAUUUAUUGGCUUGUCAAAGAAUCAUGUUUUCCUGCUAAAAAUAAAUAUUUUUAAACAAUUAACUGUUCUUUACAAAAUUAAGUGUGAUUUAUAAAAGGCUGCAGUGUCAAAAGGCAGUAGCAAAUGCUGCUCAUGUAUGCCACAUGAUUUUUGUGUUCCUUUCAUACAUGAAAAAACAAUGUACUUGAUUUGAUGUGUGUUAUACUGUCAAUUGUAUUUAGCGGUGUUCUGAGAACUGCACCAGAGAGUGGGCCAAAAUGUAAAACAUUUAAAAUAAAAAUUCUUGAUUUGCUGACAUUCUGUAUUGUGAUGAGCUAGCAAAGCAAUACCCUCAUUUUGGUUUGGGACAGGUGGAUGGCAUGCCUAAAGAUAUGGUUCAGUAAAAAACAGAUAUAGAACCAAAAGCCUAUAAACAGCCAAGUUCACAGUUUUCUUGACUUUUAAAAUUUGUUUUAUAGGUUUCCAAAACUAGGGGGGAAAUAUUGCAGUGCUUUCAGAAUGCAACUACUGCAUCCUAUGCGUACUGUUUUGGCUUGUCCACAACACAUCUGAUUAGUUCUGCUGAGCCAGGGAGAGGGACCACAGACUACAUAAACUUGUUGAAGGUGUCUACAGUGCUUUGCAGCAUUGUGCACAUAUCAGGGAGUGAAAAAGGAAUCUUGGGGAAGGGUUUAUUAUGGACUCCUCUUACUCCCACCCUCAACCUGAAGUGCUAGGACAGGGAGAAGACUAUUAUAGCCAUUCCCCUUUUGCCUUGCAUCCUGCAGUAUGGAAUAUUCCAAAUCCCAUGGACUGUCACCAGCAAAUUAUCUGACUGCUCUGGCCGUGCACUGGAAUACAGAUUUUGUCCGUAAUUAGCAUCUAUAGUUAAUCAAACAACUCAUAGACUUUAAGGUCAGAAGGGACCA